GACGAACCGUGCGAACGUUGUUCGGAAUCACUGGGCUUAAAGGGCGCGUAGGCGGGUUGCCAAGUCCGGGGUGAAAGCCCCCAGCUCAACUGGGGAAGGGCCUUGGAUACUGGUGAUCUCGAGGGAGGUAGGGGCAUGCGGAACUUCCGGUGGAGCGGUGAAAUGCGUAGAUAUCGGAAGGAACGCCGGUGGCGAAAGCGGCGUGCUGGACCUCUUCUGACGCUGAGGCGCGAAAGCCAGGGGAGCAAACGGG
Molecule: ribosomal RNA, 253 nt
Filed under: uncultured bacterium
Lineage: Bacteria
Description: partial 16S ribosomal RNA
Rfam family: Bacterial small subunit ribosomal RNA
Source: RNAcentral